CAGCCUACGGGAGGCAGCAGUGGGGAAUAUUGGGCAAUGGGCGCAAGCCUGACCCAGCAACGCCGCGUGAAGGAAGAAGGCUUUCGGGUUGUAAACUUCUUUUCUCAGGGACGAAGAAAGUGACGGUACCUGAGGAAUAAGCCACGGCUAACUACGUGCCAGCAGCCGCGGUAAUACGGAGGAUGCGAGCGUUAUCCGGAUUUAUUGGGUUUAAAGGGUGCGCAGGCGGCGUGUCAAGUCAGCGGUAAAAUGUCGGGGCUCAACCCCGGCCGGCCGUUGAAACUGGCGUGCUCGAGUUGGAGAGG
RNAcentral lists this ribosomal RNA (305 nucleotides) under uncultured bacterium. RNAcentral describes it as "bacterial SSU rRNA". It matches the Rfam family "Bacterial small subunit ribosomal RNA", at positions 332 to 655 of the family's 1533-position model. The record is from RNAcentral.